UACGUAGGGGGCAAGCGUUGUCCGGAAUCAUUGGGCGUAAAGAGCGUGUAGGCGGCUCGGUAAGUCCGCUGUGAAAGUCCAGGGCUCAACCCUGGAAUGCCGGUGGAAACUGUCGAGCUCGAGUCCGGAAGAGGCGAGUGGAAUUCCUGGUGUAGCGGUGAAAUGCGCAGAUAUCAGGAGGAACACCAAUGGCGAAGGCAGCUCUCUGGGACGGUACUGACGCUGAGACGCGAAAGCGUGGGGAGCGAACAGG
Molecule: ribosomal RNA, 253 nt
Filed under: uncultured bacterium
Lineage: Bacteria
Description: partial 16S ribosomal RNA
Rfam family: Bacterial small subunit ribosomal RNA
Source: RNAcentral